UAUUGGACAAUGGGCGAAAGCCUGAUCCAGCAAUGCCGCGUGAGUGAUGAAGGCCUUAGGGUUGUAAAGCUCUUUUACCCGGGAUGAUAAUGACAGUACCGGGAGAAUAAGCCCCGGCUAACUCCGUGCCAGCAGCCGCGGUAAUACGGAGGGGGCUAGCGUUGUUCGGAAUUACUGGGCGUAAAGCGCGCGUAGGCGGCUUAGCAAGUUAGAGGUGAAAGCCCGAAGCUCAACUUCGGAAUUGCCUUUAAAACUGCAAGGCUAGAAUUGUGGAGAGGUGAGUGGAAUUCCGAGUGUAGAGGUGAAAUUCGUAGAUAUUCGGAAGAACACCAGUGGCGAAGGCGACUCACUGGACACAUAUUGACGCUGAGGUGCGAAAGCGUGGGGAGCAAACAG
Molecule: ribosomal RNA, 396 nt
Filed under: uncultured bacterium
Lineage: Bacteria
Description: bacterial SSU rRNA
Rfam family: Bacterial small subunit ribosomal RNA
Source: RNAcentral